Molecule: long non-coding RNA, 1626 nt
Filed under: Triticum aestivum (bread wheat)
Lineage: Eukaryota; Viridiplantae; Streptophyta; Magnoliopsida; Poales; Poaceae
Description: long non-coding RNA (TAES_LNC005186)
Source: RNAcentral
GAUACUAGUAGCGCUUCUAUGGUAACACACGCUACUAGUAUCUAGGAUACUAGUAGCGCAUGGUUUGUCCCACACACUACUACUAACUAAUUACGAAUUAAAAAAAUUAAAAUCCCCAAAUUCCAUUUUAUGCAUUACACAUCAUUACAAAUCCAAGAUUUAUAGUAAACCAGGAGCAUUAGAGCAUAUCCAGACACCUACAGUUCUUGCCAAGUCACUUAUUCCAGCUAGUGCAAACACAGUUACAAGCAAACUAAAAUGCAUAGAAAGACCAAACUGUGGCAUCCUAUCUCUCCAAAUGAUCUGCUCCCGCUGCAUCCUUGCAAGCGUCUUCACGAUAAGCAAAUCUGCAGGAAAAAAAGUCAACUUAGCAUCUAGAUUUUAUCCAUUGCCCUGGCCAUGUUCAAGAAGCAGUAAAUUUAGAACAUUUCUACUGUAAAUACAUGAGGCAUCGGGACAGAAAACAAAAGAUGAGAAAUAUCAUAUGAGCUGGAUAAAAAGGAGUUUGGACCAUAGCAUGGUUAACAAUAAAACUAGAAGCAACAUGCACGCUUUGCCGCAUUGACUCAUGAGUCCAGCAUAAAUUUUGCACGUUGCCCCAAGAUGUAUUGCAAAGAGCCUUCAUAUAAGAAAUUACAGUUUGGCUAAUUUGGAUAUAGGAACAAUGCAUACAUCCCCUUCUUGGUACAGUAAACACAUUGUUUCAUCUCAGACGACAACCAUUUAGUUUAGAUAAAAGGAUAACAUUCAAAAAAAGAAUUGACCCUUAAAACCUCUUAACAAAUAAAUACAUUGUCACUAUAGAGUAACUUGGAAAAUUUCAAAUUUUCAAACAUGUUAUCUAAAAUGGAUAUCUACGGCAAUGCUAUUCAGAUGAAAAAUAAAAAAGGAAAACCAAACAUUAAUCAACACACUAACUUAUUUUGCCAAGCCAUUGCAUUUAGCACCAAGUGCAAAUAGGAACUUGUGAUCAUUGGAGUCAUUGGUGUUGUUGUUUCACCUCCCUUUAAUGAAACAACGCAUGAUACUACCAAUUUCUUGUAAUCUUUACGAGCAAGCACGCUGAUGAUCAAAAUCAUUGUUGUUACGAACAGACAUGCAUAUGCUCAAAAUAAGAAGAGACCAUGAAACACUUGGAAAUCUUAGGCUGGCCUAUUGUGACAUAACAAAAAAAGAAGAGAGUUAACCUUCUUUCUCUUCCGAGGCACCGCACCUGCGUCCGCGUUCGGCUUCGCAUUCUCCUCCCUCCUUCACUUGAACGACGCACUGCAUUUGUAAAUGGAUAGUCAGCUGCACAUCAACAACCAGCAAACUUCAUUACAAAUCCAAGGUUCUCGACAAACAAUAAGCCAUGGAUAGAAUAAAACAGAAAGACCGAGUGGCCCUCGAAACGGCUUUCGUUCCCCAAUAACACUACUGCUGGCUGGAGGUGUCCUCACGGAUGAAAGAACUCGGCAGCGGCCUCGAUCAAUCACAGCUUGGCCGGACCAUGGAGAUGCAUUUGGUUGUAGCGCGGGCCAUACAGCCCACGCUACUAGUAGCUUGUCAGAAUGUCAACCUACAUUUUAAUUGGUUACGCCUCUCUUUCUCCACACUUGGAGUGAAGUGAUUAGCAAGAGAAAUGAC